AUGCAUUUCGAAGACCAUGAGUUCGAGGUGGACAAGGAGGGUGAGGGCAUUGUCGAUGCACCGAAAGGAAGAGCGGGCAAUUACACCAACGUCGAUGACAUCUUACUAUGCAAUACUUGGUUGCAAGUGUCGAGGGAUCCAUCCGUUGGAGGUGAUCAAAGUAGAGAUGCUUAUUGGGGGCGGAUGAAAGAACACUUUGAUGUUCACAACUUGAGUGGAAUUGACUGCUCCGAGAGAUCACUUCGGUCCCGAUGGUCGACAAUCAACUCAGAUUGUCAAAGGUGGGCGGCCUGUCAAAAGGCGGUUGACAAGUUGAACCCAAGUGGCACAAAUGCGAGGACGAUAGAGUAA
This 351-nucleotide ribosomal RNA is filed under the name Triticum aestivum (bread wheat). RNAcentral's name for it is "partial small subunit ribosomal RNA". Lineage: Eukaryota; Viridiplantae; Streptophyta; Magnoliopsida; Poales; Poaceae. The record is from RNAcentral.